RNAcentral lists this long non-coding RNA (496 nucleotides) under Macaca mulatta (Rhesus monkey). Its description in RNAcentral is "lncRNA (ENSMMUG00000052311.1)". Lineage: Eukaryota; Metazoa; Chordata; Mammalia; Primates; Cercopithecidae. The record is from RNAcentral.
AAUUUACAGAAUUUCUAGACUUCAGCAAUCUGAUUUUUUAAAAUUUAUUUUAUUUUUUCAGGUCGAGGCUGAGCUGGAGUUAAUCUGUGGCGACAUGCUGGAGGUACUAGACAAACACCUCAUUCCAGCAGCUACCACUGCCCCCAUUCACUGGGGAGAAUGGAAAGAAAACAACUGACAACAUCCUCAAAUGUAAACUCAAUUUGCCUCCCUACCUCACACAAGAAGCCAGAGAUCUGCUUAAAAAGGCUCAUCCAUUCUUUAGACACAUUAACUGGGAAGAACUUCUGGCUGGAAAGGUGGAGCCCCCCCCCCCUUUAAACCUCUGUUGGUAAGUAUACAUGAAAGCAUAUAAUUGGGUGCAAGGGCUCAUACCUGUAAUCCCAAAACUUUAAAGGGCUGAGGUGGGAGGAUUGUUUGAAGCCAGAAGUUCAAGACCAGCAUGGGCAACAUAACAAGACUUCAUCUCUACAAAACAUUUAAAAGUUAGCUGGGC